RNAcentral lists this ribosomal RNA (410 nucleotides) under uncultured bacterium. RNAcentral's name for it is "bacterial SSU rRNA". It matches the Rfam family "Bacterial small subunit ribosomal RNA", at positions 370 to 772 of the family's 1533-position model. The record is from RNAcentral.
AAUGGGCGCAAGCCUGAUCCAGCCAUGCCGCGUGAGUGAAGAAGGCCCUCGGGUUGUAAAGCUCUUUUGUCCGGAAAGAAAAGCGCCGGGUUAAUACCCUGGUGUCCUGACGGUACCGGAAGAAUAAGCACCGGCUAACUUCGUGCCAGCAGCCGCGGUAAUACGAAGGGUGCAAGCGUUACUCGGAAUUACUGGGCGUAAAGCGUGCGUAGGUGGUUCGUUAAGUCCGAUGUGAAAGCCCUGGGCUCAACCUGGGAAUGGCAUUGGAUACUGGCGGGCUAGAGUGCGGUAGAGGGUAGUGGAAUUCCCGGUGUAGCAGUGAAAUGCGUAGAGAUCGGGAGGAACAUCCGUGGCGAAGGCGACUACCUGGACCAGCACUGACACUGAGGCACGAAAGCGUGGGGAGCAAA